UCUGGUGAUUAUGGCGAAGAGGUCACACCCGUUCCCAUGCCGAACACGGAAGUUAAGCUCUUCAGCGCCGAUGGUA
This 76-nucleotide ribosomal RNA is filed under the name Bacillus sp. NTK074B. Lineage: Bacteria; Bacillati; Bacillota; Bacilli; Caryophanales; Bacillaceae. The record is from RNAcentral.